Molecule: ribosomal RNA, 448 nt
Filed under: uncultured bacterium
Lineage: Bacteria
Description: SSU rRNA
Rfam family: Bacterial small subunit ribosomal RNA
Source: RNAcentral
GGAACGAACGCUGGCGGCAGGCUUAACACAUGCAAGUCGAACGCGUGUAGCAAUACACGAGUGGCGCACGGGUGAGUAACGCGUGGAUAUCUGCCUUUUGGUUCGGAAUAACCCCGGGAAACUGGGGCUAAUACCGGAUGGUUCCUACGGGAUAAAGAUUUAUCGCCAAAAGAUGAGUCCGCGUCCGAUUAGCUAGUUGGUGGGGUAAUGGCCUACCAAGGCGACGAUCGGUAGCUGGUCUGAGAGGACGAUCAGCCACACUGGGACUGAGACACGGCCCAGACUCCUACGGGAGGCAGCAGUGGGGAAUAUUGGACAAUGGGGGCAACCCCGAUCCAGCCAUGCCGCGUGAGUGAUGAAGGCCUUCGGGUUGUAAAGCUCUUUUGGCGGGGACAGUGAUGACGGUACCCGCAGAAUAAGCCCCGGCUAACUUCGUGCCAGCAGCCGC